This 67-nucleotide transfer RNA is filed under the name Marmota monax (woodchuck). RNAcentral's name for it is "tRNA.Ala". It matches the Rfam family "tRNA". From Rfam's summary of the family: Transfer RNA (tRNA) molecules are approximately 80 nucleotides in length. Their secondary structure includes four short double-helical elements and three loops (D, anti-codon, and T loops). Further hydrogen bonds mediate the characteristic L-shaped molecular structure. tRNAs have two regions of fundamental functional importance: the anti-codon, which is responsible for specific mRNA codon recognition, and the 3' end, to which the tRNAs corresponding amino acid is attached (by aminoacyl-tRNA synthetases). tRNAs cope with the degeneracy of the genetic code in two manners: having more than one tRNA (with a specific anti-codon) for a particular amino acid; and 'wobble' base-pairing, i.e. permitting non-standard base-pairing at the 3rd anti-codon position. The record is from RNAcentral. Lineage: Eukaryota; Metazoa; Chordata; Mammalia; Rodentia; Sciuridae.
GGUUGUAGCUCAGUGGUAGAGCGCUUGCCUCGCAUGUGUGAGGCCCUGGGUUCAAUCUUCAGCACCA